This 99-nucleotide ribosomal RNA is filed under the name uncultured bacterium. RNAcentral's name for it is "partial 16S ribosomal RNA". It matches the Rfam family "Bacterial small subunit ribosomal RNA", at positions 1384 to 1482 of the family's 1533-position model. The record is from RNAcentral.
CACACACCGCCCGUCAAGCCAUGGAAGCUGGGUGUACCUAAAGACGGUGCGCUAACCGCAAGGAGGCAGCCGGCCACGGUAGGGUCAGCGACUGGGGUG